CGCCCAGCUAAUUUUUGUGUUUUUAGGGGAGACGGGUUUCACCAUUUUGGCCAGGGUGGUCUCGAUCUCCUGACCUUGUGAUCCGCCCGCCUCGGCCUCCCAAAGUGCUGGAAUUGCAGGCAUGAGCCACUGCACCUGGCUGAGUACAAUAUUAAUGUAGACGAACCAUGAGGUUUAUUAUUUCAUAUAAGAACGUUACAAGUUUGUUUUUUCUUGCAUGUCUGUCCACCUAAUGUUUAAGUAGUUAUGGUAGCUCUUCCUAUUCUUUAUUCUAUUUGAUUCCAUUUCUGUGAUUCCUUUAUUACCACUGAUGUUUUGUGAUAGUUAACUAUGAUAAAUUUAACUAAUCAUGAUUUAUCUUCUAGAGUAUUUAAAUAAUAGAUGAGUGACCACCCAAUUCCAACAUUAAAAGUGUAAUCUGGGCCCAUAAUUUAUAGUGAAAUUGUAUCAAAACAUAGGGAAACUGUAUUACUAUCCAUUUUGAAAAUAUGAAACUUGAGUAUUGAAAAUAUUCAAACAUGGAAUGGCACUAUUCUAAUUUCAGUUAAUUGGUUCAUGUUAAUUUCUUACCUAUUAGAUGUUUAAACAGCAGUGACCUUUAGCUUUUGCUACCAACUCAACCACUUAACUUUUAGAGCAGUUUUGGGGAGAUUUUAUGCUUCAUCUGAGUUUAGAAGUAAUGUCAGAAAAUGUUAAGCAUGUCUGUAUUAAGAAAAUAUAAGGUUUCUAAUUGUCUUAUUAAUAUGGUAAUUCAAGUGAAUUAGAAAUAUUUAACUGCAAUCUUGAAUUAUAAAGUUGAGA
Molecule: small RNA, 801 nt
Filed under: Pongo abelii (Sumatran orangutan)
Lineage: Eukaryota; Metazoa; Chordata; Mammalia; Primates; Hominidae
Description: processed transcript
Source: RNAcentral